GACGAACGCUGGCGGCGCGCCUAACACAUGCAAGUCGAACGACCGAGCGGAGGUUUACUUUCUCAAGCGAGUGGCGAACGGGUGAGUAACGCGUGAGGAACCUGCCUCAAAGAGGGGGACAACAGUUGGAAACGACUGCUAAUACCGCAUAAGCCCACGACCCGGCAUCGGGGAGAGGGAAAAGGAGCAAUCCGCUGUGAGAUGGCCUCGCUUCCGAAUAGCUUGGUGGUGAGGUAAUGGCCCACCAAGGCGACGGUUGGUAGCCGGGCUGAGAGGUUGAACGGCCACAUUGGGACUGAGACACGGUCCGGACUCCUACGGGAGGCAGGAGUGGGGAAUAUUGCACAAUGGGGGAAACCCUGAUGCAGCGACGCCGGGUGGAGGAAGAAGGUCUUAGGAUUGUAAACUCCUGUUGUUGAGGAAGAUAAUGACGGUACUCAACAAGGAAGUGACGGCUAACUACGUG
This 466-nucleotide ribosomal RNA is filed under the name uncultured bacterium. Its description in RNAcentral is "partial 16S ribosomal RNA". It matches the Rfam family "Bacterial small subunit ribosomal RNA", at positions 28 to 507 of the family's 1533-position model. The record is from RNAcentral.